This 77-nucleotide transfer RNA is filed under the name Candidatus Pelagibacter communis. Its description in RNAcentral is "tRNA-Arg". It matches the Rfam family "tRNA". Rfam says of the family: Transfer RNA (tRNA) molecules are approximately 80 nucleotides in length. Their secondary structure includes four short double-helical elements and three loops (D, anti-codon, and T loops). Further hydrogen bonds mediate the characteristic L-shaped molecular structure. tRNAs have two regions of fundamental functional importance: the anti-codon, which is responsible for specific mRNA codon recognition, and the 3' end, to which the tRNAs corresponding amino acid is attached (by aminoacyl-tRNA synthetases). tRNAs cope with the degeneracy of the genetic code in two manners: having more than one tRNA (with a specific anti-codon) for a particular amino acid; and 'wobble' base-pairing, i.e. permitting non-standard base-pairing at the 3rd anti-codon position. RNAcentral also lists the same sequence under 4 other names. The record is from RNAcentral. Lineage: Bacteria; Pseudomonadati; Pseudomonadota; Alphaproteobacteria; Candidatus Pelagibacterales; Candidatus Pelagibacteraceae.
GCGCUUGUAGCUCAACUGGAUAGAGUGCCUGACUUCGAAUCAGGAGGUUCUAGGUUCGACUCCUAGCAGGCGCACCA